ACGCUCGACACCUACUGGAGGCAGCAGUGGGGAAUAUUGCACAAUGGGGGAAACCCUGAUGCAGCGACGCCGCGUGAGCGAAGAAGUAUUUCGGUAUGUAAAGCUCUAUCAGCAGGGAAGAAAAUGACGGUACCUGACUAAGAAGCCCCGGCUAACUACGUGCCAGCAGCCACGGUAAUCUGAGCGGGCUGGCAAGGC
This 198-nucleotide ribosomal RNA is filed under the name uncultured bacterium. Its description in RNAcentral is "partial 16S ribosomal RNA". It matches the Rfam family "Bacterial small subunit ribosomal RNA", at positions 328 to 539 of the family's 1533-position model. The record is from RNAcentral.